UUCUCUACAUUUGUGAAGAACUUCAAAAGUCGAAACCAAAAGGGAAUGCAUGGUCAUUGUUAAGUGCUAGUAUAUAAAGCUUUAUUCAAGAUUGAGAUCACAUAGGAAUUCGGACCUUGACUAUCAAUUUAAACUAAUGUUGUGUUAUUGUUUACGUUAGUUGAACAAUGUGCUUCCUUUUCAUGUAUUGUACGACAAUUUAAUU
RNAcentral lists this long non-coding RNA (205 nucleotides) under Helianthus annuus (common sunflower). RNAcentral's name for it is "sRNA HanXRQr2_Chr10g0434351". The record is from RNAcentral. Lineage: Eukaryota; Viridiplantae; Streptophyta; Magnoliopsida; Asterales; Asteraceae.